RNAcentral lists this ribosomal RNA (253 nucleotides) under uncultured bacterium. RNAcentral describes it as "partial 16S ribosomal RNA". It matches the Rfam family "Bacterial small subunit ribosomal RNA", at positions 524 to 776 of the family's 1533-position model. The record is from RNAcentral.
UACGAAGGGGGCUAGCGUUGCUCGGAAUCACUGGGCGUAAAGCGCACGUAGGCGGAUCUUUAAGUCGGGGGUGAAAUCCCGGGGCUCAACUCCAGAACUGCCUUCGAUACUGAGAGUCUCGAGUCCGGGAGAGGUGAGUGGAACUGCGAGUGUAGAGGUGAAAUUCGUAGAUAUUCGCAAGAACACCAGUGGCGAAGGCGGCUCACUGGUCCAUUACUGACGCUGAGGUGCGAAAGCGUGGGGAGCGAACAGG